AUUGAACGCUGGCGGAAUGCUUUACACAUGCAAGUCGAGCGGCAGCGCGGGGCAACCUGGCGGCGAGCGGCGAACGGGUGAGUAAUGCAUCGGAACAUGUCCAUGUCGUGGGGGAUAGCCCGGCGAAAGCCGGAUUAAUACCGCAUACGUCCGAGAGGAGAAAGUGGGGGACCCGAAAGGGCCUCACGCGAUUGGGUUGGCCGAUGUCCGAUUAGCUAGUUGGUGAGGAAAGGCUCACCAAGGCGAUGAUCGGUAGCUGGUCUGAGAGGAUGAUCAGCCACACUGGGACUGAGACACGGCCCAGACUCCUACGGGAGGCAGCAGUGGGGAAUUUUGGACAAUGGGGCAACCCUGAUCCAGCCAUUCCGCGUGAGUGAAGAAGGCC
Molecule: ribosomal RNA, 385 nt
Filed under: uncultured bacterium
Lineage: Bacteria
Description: bacterial SSU rRNA
Rfam family: Bacterial small subunit ribosomal RNA
Source: RNAcentral